AGGCGGGAGGUGGAAGCUCCAGCAGGCUGGGUGCAGGUCGGAGAGUGGGAGUCUCAGGGGGCCCAUCCUCAGUGACGCAGGGGGAACCCAUGAUGGGGGUCUCAUGACCCAUAAUGGAACUCAUGAUGGGGGGUGUCCCAUGACCCAUAAUGGAACCCAUGAUGGGGGGUGUCCCAUGACCCAUAAUGGAACCCAUGAUGGGGGGUGUCCCAUGUUGGCAUCAGUGCCCUUGUAAGGAGACACCAGAACUUCCUGUAUGUCUCUGUCUCCACAUGGAAAACACCAUGAGAAGACAACCCUGUACCAGCCAGGAAGAGACCUCCCCAGGGGCCGGCCCGCCCAGCCCCUGCCCUCCAACGCCCAGCCUCUGGAAAUGGGAGUGACCAGCAUGGGACACGGAAGGCUUCGCUCGAGCCCCUCACCAGGAUGAAGGCUGUUGGAGACCCGCUGGAGAUGGCAGAGACGUCACUGAAGACGCAGCCAAUGAGGCAGGGCACGGGCAUCAGCAGCAGCGUGAGCCGUAGGAGGACCAUGUGGAACGCGGCUCUCUCAGGACACAGCUUGGCACAGGGUGCCUGAGAGCCUCACCUGCCUCGGAGACCACCCCUUCCCCAAAGGCAAACUCUCCCUGUGCCCCUCAGGAGGUGUCACCUGGAGCAUCUUGGCUAAAAUGCUGGGAUCAAGGCUUCGAAUCUACCGGUUGAGUCGUGUUUCCAGCCUGUCGUUCCAGGGUCUCCGCCACGGGUGCUGAGUGUCCCCAGCCAUUGCCAAGAGCCUCGGGGCUCCCGGAAACCUCAGCAUCUCCACAAUGGAAGUUCCAAGGUCCGAAAGUAGCAACUUUUAUGCAAACACAAUGUGACACACCAGCAGUGAAAGUGCUUCGAGGUGGCUCCGGCCUCUCAUCCCAGCACUUUGGGAGGCCGAAGCGGGUGGACAGUGUGAGGUCAGGAGUUAGAGACCAGCAUAAGCAACAUAGUGAAACUCCCUCGCUACUAAAAAUGCAAAAAUUAUCCAGGCAUGUUGGACAGCACCUGUUGUCUCAGCUACUCGGGAGGUGGAGGCACGACAAUUGCUUGAACCCGGCCGAGGGGGCGGUGCGGAGGUUGCAGUGAGCCCAGAUGGCACCACUGCACUCCAGCCUGGGCUACAGAGCAAGAUUCCAUCUCAAAAAAAAAAAAAAAAGUCGGACACAGUGAUGUCUGUCAUCCCAGCACUUUGGGAGGCUGACAUGGACAGAUCACCUGAGGUCAGGAGUUAGAGACCAGCCUGGCCAACGUGGUGAAAUCCUGUCUCUGCUAAAAACACAAAAAUUAGCCGGGCAUGGUGGCAGGUGCCUGUAGUCCCAGAUACUCAUGAGGCUGAGGCAGGAGAAUCGCUUGAACCCAGGGGGCAGAGGUUGCAGUGAGCCGAGGUCACAUCACUGCAUUCCAGCCUGGGCGACACAGCAAGACUCCAUCUCAAAAAAGAAAUAAAUAAAGUAAAAAUAAAAAUAAACAAAAACAAAGUGGCUCUAA
This is a non-coding RNA of Callithrix jacchus (white-tufted-ear marmoset), 1514 nucleotides long. Lineage: Eukaryota; Metazoa; Chordata; Mammalia; Primates; Cebidae. The record is from RefSeq and is a predicted model, not a curated record.